ACGCGUGUAGCUCAGUUGAUAGAGCAUACGCUUUACAAAUGCGUAGGCGGCGUCCAUGCGUG
RNAcentral lists this transfer RNA (62 nucleotides) under Echinostoma caproni. Lineage: Eukaryota; Metazoa; Platyhelminthes; Trematoda; Plagiorchiida; Echinostomatidae. The record is from Rfam by way of RNAcentral.